Molecule: ribosomal RNA, 435 nt
Filed under: uncultured bacterium
Lineage: Bacteria
Description: partial 16S ribosomal RNA
Rfam family: Bacterial small subunit ribosomal RNA
Source: RNAcentral
AGCGAACGCUGGCGGCAGGCUUAACACAUGCGAGUCGAGCGGGCACCUUCGGGUGUCAGCGGCAGACGGGUGAGUAACACGUGGGAACGUACCCUUCGGUUCGGAAUAACGCUGGGAAACUAGCGCUAAUACCGGAUACGCCCUUAUGGGGAAAGGUUUACUGCCGAAGGAUCGGCCCGCGUCUGAUUAGCUAGUUGGUGGGGUAACGGCCUACCAAGGCGACGAUCAGUAGCUGGUCUGAGAGGAUGAUCAGCCACACUGGGACUGAGACACGGCCCAGACUCCUACGGGAGGCAGCAGUGGGGAAUAUUGGACAAUGGGCGCAAGCCUGAUCCAGCCAUGCCGCGUGAGUGAUGAAGGCCUUAGGGUUGUAAAGCUCUUUUGUCCGGGACGAUAAUGACGGUACCGGAAGAAUAAGCCCCGGCUAACUUCGUG